UACGUAGGGCGCAAGCGUUGUCCGGAAUUAUUGGGCGUAAAGAGCUCGUAGGCGGUUUGUCGCGUCUGCUGUGAAAAUCUAAGGCUCAACCUUGGGCUUGCAGUGGGUACGGGCAGACUAGAGUGCGGUAGGGGUGACUGGAAUUCCUGGUGUAGCGGUGGAAUGCGCAGAUAUCAGGAGGAACACCGAUGGCGAAGGCAGGUCUCUGGGCCACUACUGACGCUGAGAAGCGAAAGCAUGGGGAGCGAACAGGG
Molecule: ribosomal RNA, 254 nt
Filed under: uncultured bacterium
Lineage: Bacteria
Description: partial 16S ribosomal RNA
Rfam family: Bacterial small subunit ribosomal RNA
Source: RNAcentral